UUGGCUACGCGAGCGCAUGAGUUGUGCUGGACCUAUGACUGCCGGGAGGACCCCCGCCGUUGUGCGGCCGACUACCGGCGCCUGUGUCCCUUCAAUCGUUGGCCAUUGCGCCCUACCCUUUGACGAGUGCUUGCGUGCUACUACCAGUCGCCUGGAAGUUGCAUUCGCUAAAUGUUGCCUUCGUCGUGCCCGUCCCUAGGGCGUGGCACGUCGACAAGAAAGCGUUCACGGCGUUGCCUCGUGUAGCCGGCCACAUAGACUGGCAUCAUCAAGGCCACCUCGUGUAUGCUCUUGGUCCCGGAUGUGGCUAACGAUAAAGGCCGAAAGCGCUUCGGCGCCACGUGCCUAGCAAAGAUUGUCCGAUCGGAAAUAACGACAGUCGGCCCGGCUGAUGCCCCGUGCGGAAGCUGGCGCCGGCUCGUCGGCGAGGACGUGCUACCUGGUUGAUCCUGCCAGUAGUCAUAUGCUUGUCU
Molecule: unclassified non-coding RNA, 473 nt
Filed under: Renvoizea trinii
Lineage: Eukaryota; Viridiplantae; Streptophyta; Magnoliopsida; Poales; Poaceae
Description: partial external transcribed spacer
Source: RNAcentral